Molecule: ribosomal RNA, 497 nt
Filed under: uncultured bacterium
Lineage: Bacteria
Description: partial 16S ribosomal RNA
Rfam family: Bacterial small subunit ribosomal RNA
Source: RNAcentral
GAUGAACGCUGGCGGCAUGCCUAAUACAUGCAAGUCGAGCGAACAGACGAGGAGCUUGCUCCUCUGACGUUAGCGGCGGACGGGUGAGUAACACGUGGAUAACCUACCUAUAAGACUGGGAUAACUUCGGGAAACCGGAGCUAAUACCGGAUCAUAUAUUGAACCGCAUGGUUCAAUAGUGAAAGACGGUUUUGCUGUCACUUAUAGAUGGAUCCGCGCCGCAUUAGCUAGUUGGUAAGGUAACGGCUUACCAAGGCAACGAUGCGUAGCCGACCUGAGAGGGUGAUCGGCCACACUGGAACUGAGACACGGUCCAGACUCCUACGGGAGGCAGCAGUAGGGAAUCUUCCGCAAUGGGCGAAAGCCUGACGGAGCCACGCCGCGUGAGUGAUGAAGGUCUUCGGAUCGUAAAACUCUGUUAUUAGGGAAGAACAAAUGUGUAAGUAACUAUGCACGUCUUGACGGUACCUAAUCAGAAAGCCACGGCUAACUACGUG